AACGAACGCUGGCGGCAUGCCUAACACAUGCAAGUCGAACGAGACCUUCGGGUCUAGUGGCGCACGGGUGCGUAACGCGUGGGAACCUGCCCUUAGGUUCGGAAUAACUCCCCGAAAGGGGUGCUAAUACCGGAUAAUGUCUUCGGACCAAAGAUUUAUCGCCUUUGGAUGGGCCCGCGUUGGAUUAGCUAGUUGGUAGGGUAAAAGCCUACCAAGGCGACGAUCCAUAGCUGGUCUGAGAGGAUGAUCAGCCACACUGGGACUGAGACACGGCCCAGACUCCUACGGGAGGCAGCAGUGGGGAAUAUUGGACGAUGGGCGAAAGCCUAAUCCAGCAGUGCCGCGUGAGUGAUGAAGGCCUUAGGGUUGUAAAGCUCUUUUACCCGGGAUGAUAAUGACAGUACCGGGAGAAUAAGCUCCGGCUAACUCCGUG
Molecule: ribosomal RNA, 433 nt
Filed under: uncultured bacterium
Lineage: Bacteria
Description: partial 16S ribosomal RNA
Rfam family: Bacterial small subunit ribosomal RNA
Source: RNAcentral